Molecule: transfer RNA, 68 nt
Filed under: Marmota monax (woodchuck)
Lineage: Eukaryota; Metazoa; Chordata; Mammalia; Rodentia; Sciuridae
Description: tRNA.Ala
Source: RNAcentral
GGAAUAUAGCUUAGUGGUACAGUGCUUGCUUAGCAGGUGCAAGGCCCUGGGUUGGAUCCCCAGUGCCA